This is a long non-coding RNA of Helianthus annuus (common sunflower), 689 nucleotides long. RefSeq lists it as uncharacterized. Lineage: Eukaryota; Viridiplantae; Streptophyta; Magnoliopsida; Asterales; Asteraceae. The transcript is spliced from 2 exons. The record is from RefSeq and is a predicted model, not a curated record.
CGCAUAGGCUGGAUAGAAUAUCAAACACAAAGACAAAAUAUGUGUUUCUCUCUUCCUGCAAGUAUCAGACCUUCAAUUCUCACACGCUCUCCACCAUUCUUUCCCUUUCAUCAUCAUCUUCUUCUUCCUCCUUCCCUCUUUAUCCCUCUGUAUUCAUUCCAUUUCGAGCUAGGUUUCAAAAAACCCAAAACAACACUUCUGUAUCUCACUUUCUGACUGAAACACAUAUCAUAGUCACAUCUUUGCAUAAAAAUCCAAUUCCUAUUCAAGAAACACAAAUCUCUCACAAGAAACACAGAUCCUACGGUGGUGCUUGAUUUCUAAACCUAAUCCGACGGUAUAUAGAAGAAUUCACACGGAUCUCUCUUUGAAUUUGGCUUCCUUUUCUGCACAUUGAGUCUCGGGUGAUUGGGUGAAAUCUAUAAAGGCAUACCAGAUCCCUUUCAUUCUCCAUUGUAGAUCUGGUUGUAUUCUCUGGGUAAAGGUUAUUGAAGGAAGCUUUGUGAUUAUUUGAAUAAAUCAGUUUAGUGACAAAGAUCAUUAUUGUUAAUGCCUUGGUAAAAUAUUCGUUACAAUGAAACAAUUUCCUACAAAUAUUAUUGCAUUGUUUUUUAUUUGCUUAUAGAUAAUCAACUUAAUAUGUGUUUGUAAAUAAGGUGAAAUAAAUAUGGUGGUCUGAGAUUUUGGUA